Molecule: long non-coding RNA, 682 nt
Filed under: Homo sapiens (human)
Lineage: Eukaryota; Metazoa; Chordata; Mammalia; Primates; Hominidae
Description: HSALNT0307844
Source: RNAcentral
UGCCCGGCCAUUUAGAUCAUUGUUAAUGAAUGCCCAUAAUAAGCUGUUUCCUUAUACAAGCAUUUGUCUUCCUUCUAAUAUUUACUUAUGUAACAAAAUUUACCUGUAAUUUUAAUUAAAAUGGUUCCACAUCUUGUUUCAGCUCUGAGUUUCAAACAUAAGGUAACACUAGCUUAAAAUAAGUCAUAUUAAAAAAUUCAUAACCUUAACUGUAUUUUUAAAGCUUAGCAUUUUCAAUUGCUUUCCACUUUGUAUAUCUUUUUUAAGAUUCUCUGGGUUAUAUGUGCUUUCUAAAACAGCGCACACAUAGCUGUCAAAACUAAACUAUGCAAAGGAAAGGUCAGACUUCGACAGAUAAUUCCUGUUGCCGUGGAAACAAAGUCGGUUUUGGAAAAAGCUGCAAGUUCCUCUAAAUAACCACAGAUUCAAAAACUUCAUGGUCUUCCUUUGACAGGUGUAGUGAUCUUCCUCAGGUUGAAUACUUUCUCCUUUUAAAUCCAGUAUUUGGGGUAUGCAAGCAAAAUCUAUAAGAUGAAAGGAAUUGAGAGAAAGCGUAUAAUCAAUUUAGGACCAUCUAUCAAACAUUUUAUCAUUGCACCGUAGUUCAAGGUAAUCAUACACAGGAGCAACAAUUUCUGUGAUUCUCUGCCAGGAUAUCACACACACAAUAUAAAUGGAGAGA